This 934-nucleotide ribosomal RNA is filed under the name uncultured Chloroflexota bacterium. RNAcentral describes it as "bacterial SSU rRNA". It matches the Rfam family "Bacterial small subunit ribosomal RNA", at positions 8 to 958 of the family's 1533-position model. The record is from RNAcentral. Lineage: Bacteria; Bacillati; Chloroflexota.
AGAGUUUGAUCAUGGCUCAGGAUGAACGCUGGCGGCGUGCUUUAUGCAUGCAAGUCGAACGAGAAGGGAAGGACUUCGGUCCGACCUGGAGAGUGGCGAACGGGUGAGUAACACGUGAGUACCUGCCCCGAGGUGGGGGACAACCGUGGGAAACCACGGCUAAUACCCCGUAGUCCUGUACGUACUGGUUGCGUACAGGUAUAGCUCCGGCGCCUUGGGAGGGGCUCGCGGUCGAUUAGCUAGUUGGUGGGGUAACGGCCUACCAAGGCGACGAUCGAUAGCUGGUCUGAGAGGACGAUCAGCCACACUGGGACUGAGAUACGGCCCAGACUCCUACGGGGGGCAGCAGCAAGGAAUAUUGGACAAUGGGCGCAAGCCUGAUCCAGCAACGCCGCGUGGAGGAAGAAGGCUUCGGUUGUAAACUCCUUUUGUGAGGGAUGAGACAAGGACAGUACCUCACGAAUAAGUCACGGCUAACUAGGUGCCAGCAGCCGCGGUAACACCUAGGUGACAAGCGUUAUCCGGAUUUACUGGGCGUAAAGGGCUCGCAGACGGCAGCUCAAGUCCGGCGUGAAAUCUCCUGGCUUAACCAGGAGGGGUCGUCGGGAUACUGUGCUGCUAGAGGCAGUGAGAGGGGUGCGGAAUUCUCGGUGGAGUGGUGGAAUACGCAGAUAUCGAGAGGGACACCAGUGGCGAAAGCGGCGCCCUGGCACUGACCUGACGUUCAUGAGCGAAAGAGUGAGGAGCGAACGGGAUUAGAUACCCCGGUAGUCCACGCUGUAAACGAUGAGUACUAGGUGUAGGCGACAACCGUGUCUGUGCCGUAGCUAACGCGAUAAGUACUCCGCCUGGGGAGUACGGUCGCAAGGCUAAAACUCAAAGGAAUUGACGGGGGCCCGCACAAGGUGCGGAGCAUGUUGUUUAAUUCGAUGCU